Molecule: long non-coding RNA, 1145 nt
Organism: Lycium barbarum (goji berry)
Lineage: Eukaryota; Viridiplantae; Streptophyta; Magnoliopsida; Solanales; Solanaceae
Exons: 3
Source: RefSeq, a predicted model, not a curated record
AAAUAAUUUAGGACUUAACAAGUGUGACUGCGACGAUUGAGAGUAAAAUUUUAUAUGUGUCAAAAGGAACUAUGGACUAGUGCUAUGUCACAUAAUCAUGGCAAUGAGUAUAUAAAGUAUAUUAAAAAUAAUUGUUAUUAAGGUGAAUUGAGAUCAAGAAAUUAAUUAAGAUUAUUGGAUAGCUAUUAGUGGACAUAGUCCACGUGUUUUAUUUAAAAUGGGCUGCAAGAUUUAUAUACACAUACACGUUGUGCCUUGGUGUCAAAUACAUGAUAACUAUUUAAAAAAAUUGGGCCAGCCAUGGUGCACGUGUAAAAGACCAAGUUGAUGAUGACUUUGUGUCAUUCUCUUUAUAUACAUAAUAAUUGGUUAAAAGGGGGCUGUAGUGGAAAAAAAAAUUAAUCAUUAAGUUAGUGGAAAAUUUUGAAUUGAUUAUUUUCACGUGGCAGCCAUAAGGAAGGGCAAGUAGUGACUAUUCAUUUUGUUGGCUAGUUGUGGCAUCUUUACAACUUAAGUGUUCAAGAUAAUACAAAGGGGUGGACCCCACAAUCCAAGAAGUGGACUCUACCUUACCUGUCUUGUAUACACCUAAGACUUAUAUUGAUCAGAUUGUAGCUAAGCAAUUUGACAUGGCAAUAACACUUCACUAAAGCUAACCAAACGUACAAGGAUAUACUUGGUGAUUUAGAUAAUGCACAGACCAAAAUCUUUUAGAUUAGAUGAGUCCUUCAAAAAUCCAAGACAAUGACGAAUUGCUGGACAACAACAUCUAUGAAUCAACGUGAAUUUCAAUUGUGGUAGCAGCAAUGUGUAUUUAUUCUCAAGAGCAACAAAGCGGGUUUUGCUCUCCGAUUCGAUCUCGUUGUUCCGUCUUAUCGUGUUGUUGAAUCCGGGCUUUCUUCGAAGUGAAGCAAGGUGGAAGGAGAUUAUUUCUUGGUAUAUGAGGUUUAUCAUAUUAAUUGUGGAAGUUCUUGGAUGGACUGAGCUCUCGAACGACGUGAGGUACAGACACUCGCUUUGGUGAUCCGCCAGCUUAGGAUUCCCUUUCCGAUGUCUUGGAGAGCUCCGUUGUUCCGGAGUCUAGACUUUUGGUUUGAAUCUUAUGAUAUAUAUAUAUAUAUAUAUAUAUAUAUAUAUAUAUAUAU